Molecule: ribosomal RNA, 477 nt
Filed under: Candidatus Scalindua marina (nom. nud.)
Lineage: Bacteria; Pseudomonadati; Planctomycetota; Candidatus Brocadiia; Candidatus Brocadiales; Candidatus Scalinduaceae
Description: bacterial SSU rRNA
Rfam family: Bacterial small subunit ribosomal RNA
Source: RNAcentral
UUCGCAAUGCCCGAAAGGGUGACGAAGCGACGCCGCGUGGGUGAGGAAGGCCUUCGGGUUGUAAAGCCCUGUCAGGAGUUAAGAAAUAUAAGUGCGCUAAUAUCGCAUUUAUUUGACGAAGGCUCCAAAGGAAGCCACGGCUAACUCUGUGCCAGCAGCCGCGGUAAUACAGAGGUGGCAAGCGUUGUUCGGAAUUAUUGGGCGUAAAGAGCACGUAGGUGGGUUUGUAAGUCAGAUGUGAAAGCCUUCUGUUCAACGGAAGAAUUGCAUCUGAAACUACAAGUCUUGAGUGUAGGAGGGGAGAAUGGAACUUCUGGUGGAGCGGUGAAAUGCGUAGAUAUCAGAAGGAACGCCGGCGGCGAAAGCGAUUCUCUGGCCUAUUACUGACACUCAGUGUGCGAAAGCUAGGGGAGCAAACGGGAUUAGAUACCCCGGUAGUCCUAGCCGUAAACGAUGGGCACUAAGUAGAGGGGUUUU